UAUUAUAGGUUGGUGGUGGCGGUACACAAAAGAACACGCAUUCAAAUUAUUUCCUGAAUUGAAAUAGGGCCUAGGCUAGGCCUAAACACGUUUGUUGAAUUUUGUGCUAGUUAAACUUUUAAAUGUAUACAUAAAGAUCAGGAUCUGGUCUUUUUAAAUUAAUAGUUGCUGAAAAAGUUUUGCUCAUCAUUUCCAAAUAUGGCAGCGGCUAAAGUGAAACAGCGUUAUGUUGUUCUCCACCAUCCAGACUUUGAAAACUUUGAUAAUGAGAUGUCUGUGGAAGACUAUCAAUAUUACACUAAACAUAAGGAUGAGUUUAUGCAGAUGUGGAAUGAGCAACCAUUAAUUUUCUGGAAACGACUGAACUUGAACUACAAAGGUUUUCUUGUUGAUUAUGGUACAGUUUACAAACUAAGGGCCUCGGGUCCCCUGAUGGAUAUGUUACUAAAAGAGUGCUGGGGAUAUAUAGACAGGCAGACAACUAAGGGUAACGAUGUUGAACUUGUUAUGCGGCUCAUUGAAGAUGGUUAUGUGUUAAUGAAAUCAAGAGAGCUCCUUCCUUUUGUUGAUGUUCGUGAUAAAGAAAAAUGUCCAUUCUUGAAUGACAGCACAAGAAAAAGCUUUAGAAGAUUGUUUGGAGCACCUAAAAAAAAUGGUUUACGUCUAAAGGUUUGGUUUCAAUAUCCGUUAUAUGUCAAAUAUACUGGCGCUUUGUGUAAGUAUUUGAAAAAAUGGAUCAACGCGACAGAAUUUAUAGAAGAAGACACUGGGAACUAUUGGAAGCUACCUGUAAAACGUGUUUUGGAUGCAUAUGAGCUGGAUUACUCCGUGUUAAUGGGUAAAAAUACGAAGCCCCCAUGGGAACAUACGGACACUGAUAGUAGCAUGUGGUGGGAGAACGGGGGCCUGUCAACAAUGAUGUUUCUCUCACCAGAAGGGCCCAAGAUUCUUGCUCGGUACCUAGAUUUGCAUGUACCUGAAUACAUGGACAAGAAAGAGUUAGAGGAACACAGGAUAGAGCAAGAAAGAAAGGAAGCUGCUAAGAAAAGGGAUGAAAGAAAUAUAAUUGAGUUUGCACUGAGGAAAGAAGCGGAGAAAAAAAAUCUUGAAAAAAAAAUGGAAGAGUUGCUUAUUAGUAAGACGCCUAUGCCAAGUAUGGGGGUGUUUAAAGGGAAGAAACCAACUAUACCGGAAGCUCUCAAUAACAAAGCAAUGCAAGUUUUCAAAUUACAAAAAGUUCGUCGAGAUGGAUAUGAAUCCAAUGAAGAUGAAGACUUGGAGGAUCCUGAACAGUUUUACAGAAAGUUUGAAAUUAAAGCUGAGCUUGUUGAUAAGCCACCGCCAGAGGAUUGUGACAUUCCAGUUAAUAUAUUCUUGGAUGCUGCAGAAAUGCGAAAAGAGCAGAGGAGGUUGAGAAGUGAGGGUCUUGUUGAUAAAGAGCUGUUUGGUGUUGAUUCGUCCAAGAAGAAACCCUUAGUGAUUGUAGAUGAAGAUUCAGAAGGUUGGGAUGAAGAUUUAAGUUAUGUGAAACUUAGAGAAAAACUAUCCAAGACUGGUGCUAUUCCUAAAGAGACGAGCAAUGGCAGUGAAUCAGGCUCACAAAGCCAAAACUCUAAAGAGAAACUGAAGGAAGCUAUAAAACUGGAAAUAGAUUCCAUCACCAAUCACAUCUCAACAAGGAAUAUGAAGACAAUGGAAAAACUAUCAGAAAGUGAUUCUGAGAAUGAUGAACCAUCCUCUGAGAAAAAGGAGAAGAAAGUACGUAAUUUGACAAUCAAUCUUGGUGGUAAUGGAGGACAGCAACGAAAGGUUGUAGUUACAAUUGAUAAGGACACACUAAAGAAAGAUGCUGGUGGAAUGGUUUGGGAACCACCAGAAUUUGUAGAUUUACUUUUUGCUCAGAAGCUUCUGGCAAAGAUGGAUGAGAAUGAUGAUGAGGAUCCACUUGUUCUACUGGCUAAGCAGAUUAUGGACAUAAAAACGGAUGUUGACUACACAAAGAACUUGGACUUGGAGUGUGCAAGCAAGCAUCUCCACGUUCUGAGUUAUCAGUCCAAGCUGAAAAGAUAUCCUAACCUGCGGAAGGAUAUCAGUCCUGAACAAGAGAAGUUGAGAAGUAAGCAGUACAGAAGAAGUGUUGAGGCUUUACAAGGAUACGGUAUAAGAGCAAUUGAGUUAGCUCGAGGUCAUGUUAUCUCAGCCACUGCAUGGAGGUGUGACCUCUUCAUGACUGAGGAGUGUUUGGAUGGAUUAGUAGUUGUAAAAAAUACUAAAAACACAACUAAGUUUUCACAUAGAACUGAAAAAACCAGAAACCGAAAGCAACGUGUAAAAGCUCCAAAAAACAUGAAGAAGGUGAUUCGAGAAGAGCGGAUUAAACAGAAGAAGGAAGAGCGCAUGAAGUCGGUUCGACUAAAACAGGACAUCAUGCGAAAGCAGUGGGAAGAAGAGAAAGCAGUUGUGGGGAGACGCUACAAUUCAGCAAACAAUAUUGGUGAUGAAACACCAUUUAUGAUGUACAAGAGUCUAUUAUGGGAAGUAGUCAAGGGCGAUGUACGAGCAAUGAGGAAUAUGAUUACCGUUUUGACUGAUACACGUAAUGACGACACUAGCGUGACCUCGCUAACGAAAGAACAGAAGCAGCAAAUUGAGGAUGAUAAACAACUUAUUGGCGUCUUGAUUAAGAAGUUAACGGAGUACAAAGACAGCAAACCGUUCAUUGCUUUUCCUUCAGGUAUGGAGCAGGUCACUGACAUCUACCAUGCUGUCAUUAUGGCCAAGAUGCUACGUGAGUCGUUGAGAGAACUAGAAACCGCAGACAACGCUCAGGUUCUUCCAAGCAGGAGUCUCAUUUUAGACACAUUUGCGGAAAUGGUUCCACAUUUUGCUGAGGAAGUAAAAUUUGAUAGUGUACAAAGGGUAAAAAAGUUCUAUGAAGGCCGAGAAAAGUACAAAUCCUUCAUUGAAAGGAAGAUUAUACAAGAGGCAGAGAGAAGGGUGCAAAUAGAGGCCAAGGAGAAGGGGGAAUAUGUGACGGUGGAAGACCGAGUCAAUUACACCAAACGUCCAGAAUUCCAGGACUUGGUCUAUGAAAAGCUUCUAGAAGGCUCCAAGAAUCGUGCUGAUAGUGGAAAAGAAAAGAAGAAGAAGACAAAAUCUGAAAAAGAUAAGAAAGGGGAAUCAUCAAGUGCUUCAGAGCAAGAACAAAAAUCCAACAUUUCCUUAGACCAACCUGAAGACAUAAAAUGCAAAUCGCCUCCCAGAGAUGAUGGUAAUGCGGAUUCGUCAUCCAAGGGAUCUAGUUUGUCUGAAGAGGCGAAGGCACAGGUGGAAACCGAUGUGCAGCUGUUUCUGAGUAGAGGAUGUCCGGAAGACUCGUCCCUUGAAUCUAGGAUAUUCUCCGCACUAGAUCAGGAAAAACAGGAUGAAAUAAGGAAGCACUACAGAAAAAAGGCUUUGGAAUCGGAAAAAAUAGAAGCGGUACCUAGCAAUGAUGAUGUUACAAAAUCAAAAAAAUCCUAUGCGUUCAAGUCCUGUUCUCAUUGCGAUAAAGUUGAAACUAGUCGAAAGCAGUUUAAACAGUGCCAAAGAUGUGUUGCAGAGAAAUCAAAAAGAAUAAGGUUUUACUGCACGAAGGAAUGCCAAGUUAAUGACUGGAAGCUGAAACAUAAGGAGCAACAUGCAACUGGUAUCUUUAAUUAGAAUUAACUAAUUUCCUUUACUGUAACUGUAAAACAAUACACCUCCUAACUUUCACGCAUAAUGUGCGAUUCUCAUGCAUGCGCAUCCACUUUUUACAUUUCACGCCUACGUUGUAUUAUCUCGCGCAUCAUACAUAUGUUUUAAGAUAAAAUAUGUAGGCCAAUUUUACCCUAAAAUACAUAAAAGAGAAGUGAAUUCGUCAUUAAAAUAUUAAUACCGACGGACGACUGUAUACAGUCGGUAGCAGGCGCUCUGUAUUGUGAUUAUUACAUGGAGGGCGCUAUAUACAUUUUUUUUUUGUAGCACGCAUCAGACAUUAACAAUGUUGGCAGGCAUAAAACAAUGUUCAGAUUAUCAAUCGUCAUUUGUAAGUAGCUAUCAGACCUCUGCAAGGGCCAAGGUUCCUCCUGUAGAUAGUCAAUAUGGUUAAUAUAUAAAAUAAACUUCUAAAUAAAUAUAUUGUAGCAUAAAUCUUGGGGUAUAAGAUGACUCUGACCUUUACUUGGAGCCCAAAAAUACAUUUAUUACCUGUGUUGACAUUUACUCAAUUAAACCAAAAAAAAUGAAAAAUUAAACCAAACUCAAUUUAAAACAUAGUAUGUAAUAUACGGUAGUUGCAUUUUAUAGCGCUUUAUACCAAUGUUGGAUUUAAAUUAUAAAUGCAGUAAAUAGAAAAAGUACAAUGAGUUAACCAAAUGUAGUCUGACCUGAAGGCCUACUACAAUAAUGUAAUGUGAUUUAAUAAUGAAUUGCUGGAGGGUGUAAGGGUGUGUAUUUUCAAGUUUCAAAUAAUAUAUUGCCACUUUUAAUGUUGAAAUUAUAUUGGUAUAUCUGUAAGACCAAAUGUGAUGAUCAUAUAAGAUGAUGAUUGGAGUUGGUGGAAGACCAACUCUCGCCUUCAGCCUCAUUGAUAAUAGUAAUGGUCACAUGACUUUUAAUUCGGAAUAAAUGUAUAUGAAAAUAUGUAUCUUAUUUACGUUUUUUUCCAAAUUUGUGAAGGAAUAUUUUCUGUAUAUAAAUUUUAUCAUGCAAAUCAAUCAUAUAAAAGUAAUCAUGAGAAAAUAUACAUAUGAUUUUUUUUUGUGUGAUUUUAUUAAAAGUGUUUGUUUUAUAUAUAUAUGGGUAUGCACUAUAAUUUAGCAUAUAGAAAUUUUGUUGGCAAUUUAUUUUGAGCAUAAAUUCUAAUGAAUGAAUUUGUGAUAAACUUUAAGUUUAGGGACAAAAUAAAUUCUGUUAAAUGAAAACUAGAGUUAAGGAUAACAUUUUAAAUAGUUUUAGUAUUAGGUAAGGUUGGCACUUAUGCUGUAUAAAUAUUAAAGUUUUAUUUGGUGUGGAGUA
RNAcentral lists this unclassified non-coding RNA (5040 nucleotides) under Anneissia japonica. RNAcentral's name for it is "uncharacterized LOC117121534, transcript variant X1". The record is from RNAcentral. Lineage: Eukaryota; Metazoa; Echinodermata; Crinoidea; Comatulida; Comatulidae.